Molecule: non-coding RNA, 768 nt
Filed under: Aphrophora sp. EMHAU-2015-Zz062722
Lineage: Eukaryota; Metazoa; Arthropoda; Insecta; Hemiptera; Aphrophoridae
Source: RNAcentral
UUAAAGUUUGAUUCUUGCUUUAAAGUUUGUUGUUUCAUUAAUUUACAUGUAAGAUUAUUCGUGUGUUAAUAAUCUAAAUGAAUUUAAUUAUUAUUCGCAGUAAUUAAUUCUAUAAAUAUUUAUUUAAGUAUGACAAUGUUAAUUGAUAAAAUGUUUUGAUAAAUUUUGUGCCAGCAAUCGCGGUUAAACAAUUAUUACAAAUUAACUUUAUUUUCUUUUAGUUAUUUAUAAUUAUUAAAUUUUAAUUUAAAUUUAAUUAAGUGAAAUUUUUAUAUUUUAUAUAUUUUUAUUUUUUUAUAAUUCUAAGAAAUUCUUUAUUAAACUAGGAUUAGAUACCCUACUAUUUUGAACUUAAAAUAUUAAAGUUGAAUAUUAAUAGAUAUGAUCUUUAAAUUUAAAGAAUUUGGCGGUAAUUAAGUCUUUUUAGAGGAACCUGUUCUUUAAUUGAUAAUCCACGAUAAACCUUACUUUACUUUUAUUUGUAUAUCUCUGUCAUUGAAUGUAUUAUUAGGUUAUUUUCUUUUAUCUUUAUAAAGAAAAAUGUUAGGUCAAGGUGCAGUUUAUAGUAAAGUAGAAAUGGGUUACUAUAUAUUUAUUUGGAUUUAACCUUGAAAUAUUUAGUUUAAUAAAAUUGGAUUUAAAAGUAAUUUUAAUUAGUUUAAUUAUUUUGAUUUUAGCUCUUAAUUAUGUACACAUCGCCCGUCACUCCCAUUAAUUUGGGAUAAGUCGUAACAAAGUAGUUUUACCGGAAGGUGAAUCUAGAAAGAU